Molecule: non-coding RNA, 494 nt
Organism: Danio rerio (zebrafish)
Lineage: Eukaryota; Metazoa; Chordata; Actinopteri; Cypriniformes; Danionidae
Source: Ensembl
GUAAUAGCCAGUCGCACCUCUACUGUACUCGAAAUACAUGUCAGUGAGAUUAACAUUCAUUAUUCUGACCAGACGGCUUAAACGGCCAUUCCAGAAAGGGAGUCCCCCUCAGGACAGCGGAACUCCACCUCGGCUGUGAUGGUGGAUUGAGGCGUGCAGCAGCGGUCGUCUGUACAUACACCACAGAACUUUGGCUUAUACAGCCUGAUGCUCUGGCAUCCAGACAACUCGAAACGCAUCCCACUCUGGCUUUUUGGGAUCUGCAUGGCAGGGGCGGAUCAUGCACAUGCGGGUCUGUCGUUCCAGCUGGCAUUGCUCAUUGUCAUUGGUUACACGGGAGGACACGCCCAUGCCACAGGUUGCAGAGCAUUCGCUCCAUUCAGUGGUCUGAACGAUGCAGUUGUCCCUCGCACUCUCAGGCUGGAGACCGUGAGCGGAAAUUUCUCUGUAUGCUGAUAGAUUAAAAAGUGGAUAUUAAAAUCAUGCACUAAUAA